Molecule: long non-coding RNA, 1829 nt
Filed under: Brassica napus (rape)
Lineage: Eukaryota; Viridiplantae; Streptophyta; Magnoliopsida; Brassicales; Brassicaceae
Description: long non-coding RNA (BNAP_LNC012660)
Source: RNAcentral
CUAGAUGAUCUCCUGGUUCACAUAAAUAGCCCUGGGUCGAACCAAGUUGAAUUGGUUGAAGACUUUCUUUAAAUGAUGUCGGUUUGGCCAAUUGAUGCAAACCGGCUUGAUCUUUUGGUUUGAUUGGGAUCCGUCUGAUCCAGUGUGGUAUGGUGCUUCCUAUGAUGUUGUGGAGUGCCUCUGAAUGAUUUAAAAGGUCUCCUGGUUGCCAUUCUUGAGGUUGGUUCGAUGUGAAACCCGGAUCUUCCAAAUAAGGCAAGUGUAGAGCUGGUUUGGCCGGUUUUGGGAAAUUGAUCAUAUCUUCCAAUUUCCUUGACCAUUUCUCGAGAUCUUGGGCUUUCUGGAAAUCUAAUAAACUCCUCUUGACUCCUAUGAUCUGUUUUGGUUCAGGCCGCUUCUUCUUUGGGCUGGAAUCCUCUUCUAAAGUCGCAUACUCGCAGAUGAAUGGGCUGAGAAACCUCUGAAUUGUAAAAUUUAUAACUUCUUGAUCCAUGAAUAUUUUGGGCCGGCUCCAAUUGGCAUGGACUCCUUCUUGAGUGUAGAAUCCAUAAAAAUUAGCCUCGUCAUUUAAACCCUCCUAGUUUGUAAGAUAUGGCAUGUUUAGUGCACGUAUGUCCUGGUUGGCGCCUUGGCUGGUUGAAUAGGGCUUUGGGUUGACCUCUGGUUCAGUUGCUGAUCUGAUGGCCGCGAAGACCUUGAAAUAUUGUCCAAUAUAUAAACUCUAACUGGGCUGUCUGUAUCUUUGACUCGAUGGGCUUUGAGGACAUAACCUUAGGAAAUUAUUUGAUUAUUUCAACUCUUGUAAAACAUAUUAAAAACAAAACUAGAUUUUAACCCGCGUUUUAAAAACGCAUAAUUGUUUAUUUUUUAAAUAUUUAAUUUUAUAACAAAAAUUUGUACUUUAAUUUUAUAUUAUGUGUUUUAGAACUUUAUUUAAUAGUUAAUUUAAAAUACAUUAUUUAAUAUUUGUUUUAUAUAUUUUGGAUGAUCAAUAUCUAAAAAUGUUAAUUUUGUGAAAAUAAUUAUUAAUUUUUUGCAAAAUUUAAAUCGAACUCAAAGUUCAUUUACUGAAAAGUUUAAUAUGAAAAAAAAGAAUUCAGCGUAUUGGACUCAACUCGUAUCAAAACUAUGAUAGAUUUAUUGAACCUAAUAUAUAGAUUUUAUUUACUUGUUUGAAUAUUUCUGGAUUUUUUUUUUAAAUGUAAAUUUUUUUUGUAACCAUAAUUUAGAAAAUUCUAUGUAAUAUAUUUAUGUGCAAAAUCAGUCACAUUAAUUGAUAUGGAUUGUUGCAUAUAACUAUUUUUAAGGAUUAAGCAAUUAAUUAAAGUAUAAAAAGAUGCCAUAAUUAUAGGAAAGUAUCCAUUGUGGACGACUUUUUAAAAAUAAAAAAUUAUUUACAUUUAUGAAUAACAUGCCAUUGUAAAUAACACAAAUAAUUAAGGGCAGGAUUCUAUCAAGAAUUAUGCUUUAGUAGUAUAUAUGUGAAACAUAAAAAAGUAUCAAACUAAUAAAAUAGAAACAUUAUUUAAUUUUUCAUAAUAAAGUUGCAUAAAAUUCAAGAUUUGAAAAAUGUAUUAAAUAUUGCAUCAAUACAAUAGAACAAUUUGACUUGGCACAUGGAAUUAGCUCCUGAUGCUAGCAAAACAAGCACCAAACGCUUGAUCUUUUGGUUUGAUUGGGAUCCGCCUGAUCCAGUGUGGCAUGGUGCUUCCUAUGAUGUUGUGGAGUGCCUCUGAAUGACUUAGAAGGUCUCCUGGUUGCCAUUCUUGAGGUUGGUUUGAUGUGAAACCCGUAUCUUCCAAAUAAGGCAAGUGUAGAGCUGGUUUGGC